This 334-nucleotide ribosomal RNA is filed under the name Photobacterium phosphoreum. RNAcentral's name for it is "bacterial LSU rRNA". It matches the Rfam family "Bacterial large subunit ribosomal RNA", at positions 31 to 414 of the family's 2925-position model. Lineage: Bacteria; Pseudomonadati; Pseudomonadota; Gammaproteobacteria; Vibrionales; Vibrionaceae. The record is from RNAcentral.
GCCUUGGCAGUCUCAGGCGAUGAAGGACGUAUUAACUUGCGAUAAGCCCAGAUUAGGCAGUAAAAGCCUCUUGAGUCUGGGAUUUCCGAAUGGGGAAACCCACUUGCAUAAGCAAGUAUCAUUAACUGAAUACAUAGGUUAAUGAAGCGAACCGGGGGAACUGAAACAUCUAAGUACCCCGAGGAAGAGAAAUCAACCGAGAUUCCGGUAGUAGCGGCGAGCGAAACCGGAUUAGCCCUUAAGCUAGUUCUGCGUUAGGUGAAUGUGCUGGAAAGCACAGCGAUACAGGGUGAUAGCCCCGUAACCAAAAAUGCAUUAAUAGUGAAAUCGAGUA